Molecule: long non-coding RNA, 2520 nt
Organism: Lynx canadensis (Canada lynx)
Lineage: Eukaryota; Metazoa; Chordata; Mammalia; Carnivora; Felidae
Exons: 2
Source: RefSeq, a predicted model, not a curated record
GCGAGAUCAUGACCCGAGCCGAAGUCGGCCGCUUAACCGACUGAGCCACCCAGGCGCCCCAGAACAAGGCUUUUCUAAGAGAAGUGGAUCGCCCUGAUGUCCAACUCGUCAAGCCCAUGCUUAGUCCAAAUUUCUGGAUUGGACAACUAGGGAUUUAGGGACGGGCUAGAAUGUAUCCAGAGCUAACUAGACCUCCUCCACCAUCACAUCACCUCCAGUGACCAAAGGGGCAGUUCACUUACACGGAUGCUUAUCACGUGCCAGGCACUGGGUAAGACCUUAGAGGCUUGAUAGCAUAUCCUCAUCGCCCGGCUUCAUGAGGCGGGCUUUAUGAUCCCAUUUUACGGAGGCUCUGAGGCUGCAGUUAUUUUAGGGAACAAGGAUUUGUUGAGGGGAGCGGGCACUGGCUAAGUGCUGGGGAAUGAAGUAAACACACUCCUUCCUUAAGGAAGUGUCCAUUGGCCCAAGAGGUCUCUGUUGGCCCGAUUCGAAAGCUUGCCAUGAACCCUGCACACAGUUCCUCGGAGAUCGGGACACGCCUGGGGACCUUCUUAAAUCUCCCGUCCGCUCAGCAUGGACACUGUGGAGGGAGAAGAUGAGCUGAGUUCGACUUUCCAAUGGCACACCACCGUGGAGUGUGAGCUCACUCGGGCGCGAGUCUCAGCCCAUCCGUCUUCUGCUGGGCACAGAAUGUGCUGUGGAAUGCGGGCCAACAAUCGCGUUCGCUGCGCGCAGUGAAGAUACGUGGAGCCCCGUGUGCUGUGACCGGCUGCAGAGGAAGUCUUUUAGCCCUCUACAUGCAGUGAGCUUAAUUCUUCUUCUCUCUCCAUUUUCGCACGCCUCCACACUUCCUGCUUCGUCCUGGGCCUGGCAGUGCUGAAAACCUGAGACAAAAUGUCCUUCCGGUUUUUAGAGGCCGAAACCAGGAAGGACGGGGAAAUGGGAAGGCCAGCUCUCUCUGUCUGGGACACCAGGGCCGGGGCCGGAGACCCUGGACCACAUUUCCACACCUCCCUUGGGAGGGCCGGGCUCAGCGAGAUCAGUCAAGGACUUGCUCUCAGCUGCGGCUUCCUCAUUCGAGGGCAAGUUGAUUACCAUCCUUCUGGCUUCCUUUUCCAUUUGUAACCGAAAGGAGACGGCUUUAGUGGGAGAUGAUGCUGAUAGUUAUUUCCUGAUUAGAUAGCUGUUUAUUCAUUCAAACGUAUUGAUGGAUCACCUAUUGCCUCCUCUAAAAGGAGCCCUCACGGGAGCUUACGUUCCAACGGAGAAAACCAAGCAAACAGAACAGAUAAAAUUUGUGUCGUGUUAGAAGGCCCGAUUACUACGGAGGAGCCCAGAAGAGGGUGUGAGGGGCGCUGGGUUGGGGGUGCUGCAGUUGUACGUUGGGUUCUCAGGGAAGGUUCAAAAGGAAGGUAAUAUUUGCAGUGAAGACCUGAAGGGGUUAUGGGAGAAAUCCAUGUGGAUACGAAGGAUGAGCAUUUUAGACAAACAGCAGGUGCAAAUGCCCAAGGCUGGAAGCUGCCUUCUGUGCCCCGGCAACAGCAAGGCGGCCGGAGUGACUGGAGCAAAGUCAGCGGCGGGGAGAGUAGAGGGUGACACAGUCAGAGAGGAAAUGGGGCCAGAUAGUGUCACGAGGGCCUUGAGAACAGGGGAAGUCUGUAGCUCCCUGUGAGUAAGAAGGGGAGCCUCUGGAAGGUGUUGAGCAGAAAAGGGACAUGGUGCGGUAAAGUUACACAUUCUGCUCUGGCAGAAACACCGACACUUCCUACCCACUGGCCCGCGCGUGAGAAGCAAGGGGUGAUCGAUCUGACACUUGAGUGAGCCCCCUGACCUUCCACGACAAGGCAUCACCCCCAUUUCCGUGGAGGCCAACGAGACUCAGAGAGUCGCAGUAGCUUUCUCAGGCCGUGAGCCACGCAGCUAGGGCGUGGAUGAGGGGCCCCGAGAAGCCUCAAGAGAAGAAGAGAGAAGAAAAGACCCGGGGAAAGUGAACGGAACAGAAGACCAAGGGGAUGAUCCUUAUUUUGGAAGGGAAACCGGGUGACUCGGUAUCUGUGGAUGUAACAUGCAGGUGUAAGCCGAGCGAGAACUCAAGACGAAAUGUACCAAACGGCCAUGGUCCAUUCUACGUAAUGGAUACUGUAUUCUAUGACUUGUUUUAUCCACUAUACAUACACGUAUAUGCACAUAGAUAAUGUAGUUCUAGAAUGUAUCAAUGUAAUUGUAGAUUGCAAUAUUUGUUACGGUAAAAUGAAAUACGAUGUAGCAGGACUGUAUUGUAAUAUACAAUAUAAUGGAAUUAAUGUGUUACUAACAUGCACCAGAGGAACAGGAGGGGGUCUGGUGGUCCAGGGGUCCUUGGAUCUUCCCCAUUCAUGUCUCCCCUUCAUCACUUCCCAGGUCCCAGAGAGUCUGUCUGCAAAGCCAUCAUGUUGACCCCUCCGACCCACACUUCGGUUACACUUCUCCGAGGCCAUCACAGUCGCUGGGGAUGGGGUGGCAGGAACCUGUGCCCGUGGC